Molecule: ribosomal RNA, 458 nt
Filed under: uncultured bacterium
Lineage: Bacteria
Description: bacterial SSU rRNA
Rfam family: Bacterial small subunit ribosomal RNA
Source: RNAcentral
AGCGUAAAAGUAGCAAUACGUUGGUGGCGACCGGCGCACGGGUGAGUAACGCGUAUCGCAACCUACCUAUCAGGAGGGGAAUAACCCGGCGAAAGUCGGACUAAUACCGCAUAAAACAGGGGCAACCGCAUGGUGAUAUUUGUUAAAGAAAUUCGCUGAUAGAUGGGCAUGCGUUCCAUUAGGUAGUUGGUGAGGUAACGGCUCACCAAGCCGACGAUGGAUAGGGGAACUGAGAGGUUGGUCCCCCACACUGGUACUGAGACACGGACCAGACUCCUACGGGAGGCAGCAGUGAGGAAUAUUGGUCAAUGGGCGAGAGCCUGAACCAGCCAAGUCGCGUGAAGGAAGAAGGAUCUAUGGUUCGUAAACUUCUUUUGCAGGGGAAUAAAGUGCAGGACGUGUCCUGUUUUGUAUGUACCCUGAGAAUAAGGAUCGGCUAACUCCGUGCCAGCCGCCGC